Molecule: ribosomal RNA, 461 nt
Filed under: uncultured bacterium
Lineage: Bacteria
Description: partial 16S ribosomal RNA
Rfam family: Bacterial small subunit ribosomal RNA
Source: RNAcentral
CCUACGGGUGGCAGCAGUGAGGAAUAUUGGUCAAUGGGCUUACGCCUGAACCAGCAAAGUCGCGUGAGGGAAGACUGCCCUAUGGGUUGUAAACCUCUUUUGUAAGGGAGCAACGCCGGCUACGUGUAGCCGGACUGAGAGUACCUGAAGAAACAGCAUCGGCUAACUCCGUGCCAGCAGCCGCGGUAAUACGGAGGGGGCAAGCGUUAUCCGGAUUUACUGGGUGUAAAGGGAGCGUAGACGGUUAUGUAAGUCUGGCGUGAAAGCCCGGGGCCCAACCCCGGGACUGCUUUGGAAACUGUGUAACUGGAGUACAGGAGGGGCAGGCGGAAUUCCUGGUGUAGCGGUGAAAUGCGUAGAUAUCAGGAGGAACACCGGCGGCGAAGGCGGCCUGCUGGACUGAAACUGACGUUGAGGCUCGAAAGCGUGGGGAGCAAACAGGAUUAGAUACCCCUGUAGUC